UCAAAGAUAUUAAGGACUUCUACCUUACUCACUGCCCCAAAAUCUUCCCCCAGAAACACUGUCCAAUAUUUCCUUAUACUACAAAGAU
Molecule: non-coding RNA, 88 nt
Organism: Prunus avium (sweet cherry)
Lineage: Eukaryota; Viridiplantae; Streptophyta; Magnoliopsida; Rosales; Rosaceae
Source: RefSeq, a predicted model, not a curated record